AGCGUAGACGGUAAAGCAAGUCUGAAGUGAAAGCCCGGGGGCUCAACCCCGGGGACUGCUUUGGAAACUGUUUAACUAGAGUGCUGGAGAGGUAAGCGGAAUUCCUAGUGUAGCGGUGAAAUGCGUAGAUAUUAGGAGGAACACCAGUGGCGAAGGCGGCUUACUGGACAGUAACUGACGUUGAGGCUCGAAAGCGUGGGGAGCAAAC
Molecule: ribosomal RNA, 208 nt
Filed under: uncultured bacterium
Lineage: Bacteria
Description: partial 16S ribosomal RNA
Rfam family: Bacterial small subunit ribosomal RNA
Source: RNAcentral